This 2922-nucleotide long non-coding RNA is filed under the name Podarcis lilfordi (Lilford's wall lizard). The record is from RNAcentral. Lineage: Eukaryota; Metazoa; Chordata; Lepidosauria; Squamata; Lacertidae.
AAAUUAAGAGGUUCAUGCUGUACCAACUGAACUACACCUAGUAACUAAACUAGGUUGCGUGAACAACCCUGAAGUGAAGUAGUUACCAUGGGGGAAAUCACUGACAGCGUGAUAUCUGAACAACAGCAAAAAUGUAGCAAAUCAAUUCUGAAAUGUAUGUGUAUACAUUACCAUGCAUGAAGUAUGAUAUACACUUUACCAUGCAUUCCAGUUGGGUUUGGUGUUUAGCAGAUAUUCACAUUCAAUGCAAAGGAAAAUAAAGGAGGAAGCAAUAAGGAGAUCUGUUUUUCAUGUGAGUGUGAUAACAAAACACCUAAGGACCUGAAAACAAACUGAAUGCUAAUUUAAUAAAAGUUUGUACACUUAGCUGUUGAAGAGUUGCUAAGGGACUAACUGGGCAAUGUAAACAUACCAGCAGGCCCAUUUGUCGCAUAUCCUUAGUGUACUAAAGGAAUUGAUGAUUAAAUUUACUGAGCUUCUGUUAGCUACUGUGUUUGGAAGAAGGACAGGUACAGCCCAGACCUAGGGAGAACUUCAGAGGGACAAUGUGUUCCUACCUUGCCUGCAGUAACAAAUACCUAGCAAUAUAUUUUGCAUUAACUCAUGGAACCCUUUGAAAAUUUGCUGUUCAUGUGCAGAAAUGUCAUUGUUCUCAUUCUUCAUUUUCAGCUGCAAGAAGAAACCAACUGUGGCCAGCAUCACCAUAACACUUCCAUGCUUCUUGAAAUUGCUCAGGGUUUAGAGGGGCAGCAGGUGGCAAAGAGGUGAGCAAAGAAGGAAUGAAGUAAAUCUUGAGGUGUAUGCUCUCUUAAAUCUAUUAAACUAUCCUAAAUGGAAACAUUUAUGUUUCACAUUAAUGCUCCAGUACUAAGCAUAUUUGCUCAGAAAGGUUUCGAUUUUAUUUGCCUCUGAGUAAGCUUGUUUAAGUUUGCAGCCGGACCAACGACAUGAUUUGAAGCACACUGUGCCAUAGUCUUCUGCCAGCACAUUGGGGGCGAAGAGUGUUAGCAUGGCAAUUGGGGCAGGGGCAUUUCCUCCCCUUGCCCCAUGGUACAGCUUCCCCAUUAUACUACCCAUAGAAGUGCCACAAUCUAAACUCUUGACAAGACUGAAAUUACACUGACCUGUUUGAGGAAGUACUUUAGAGCAUGUGAUAAAAUGGUUCCAGAAACCACCCCUGCUCAUUGGUAAUCUGAAGAGUGAUUAUUGAGACUGUAAUAAAAAUAAUAAAAGACAACAGCUGACAGUUUCCUGGAAAUUUCCCUUCUUGCUGAAGAAGCAAGCCAGUUUUCAGUGCGGAUUUUAAAAUAUAUAUAUAUAUAGGGUCUUUGGUACUGCAUAUAUAGGGAUGCAGUGGAAACUUCAAAGAAUGGUACAAUGAUUAAUGUGGCAUCAAGUAAGUCUCAGAUAGAAGGGUCUUCCAUGUAACAACUGUACAAUUGGAUCCUUCAAAUGAUAUACAAGUUUCAAAUAUAUCAUCGUUGAACAAGGUGACCAAGCAGAUCAUCACUGUUCAUCUUCAAGCAUUCCUGGAUGAAAUAUAAAUAUUCUAUUAUCGUUGCAACCAGUUUUCAGACCAUAGUUUUGGACUCUUUGGUUGCCCAGCUUUUGAGAAACUGAUUUUUCCUCAACGUGGAAGGCUAAAAUUGCCCCCUGGUAAAUAUUCAACCAGUUUUAAUGAACUGGCUCUAGGUAUUGCUUAAAACCAUGUUGAUGAACACCAUUGUUGUGUCUUGGGGUAUAGAGGGUUCCAAGCUACAAGAAUGUGUCUUGGGUACUUUGGAAGAUCAAGUGGUUUUCGUCCUUUUUUAGUGCAGCAGUCCUUAGUUGUACAUAAGCUUAAUUGUUACAAAACUGUGAUUCACACCAACUCCAUUGAUCCUGAAAACUAGCAUGAGUACAUAGAAAACUGCCUUAUACAGUUGGUCCAUUUGGCUCAGUAUUCUCUACACCAGGCUUCUUCCACCUCGGCCCUCCAGAUGUUUUUGGCCUACAACUCCCAUGAUCCUUAGCUAGCAGGACCAGUGGUCAGGGAUGAUGGGAAUUGUAGUCUCAAAACAUCUGGAGGGCGGAGGUUGAGGAAGCCUGCUGUACACUGACUGGCAGCAGCUCAGACAGGGUUUUCUCCCAGCCCUAUCUGAAGAUGUUGGGGAUUGAAUCUGGGGUCUUCCGAAUGCAAAUAAGUUGCUCUACCACUGUGAUAUAGCUCAUAGGCAUAUUGAUCCAAGCCAUAGGCUGCAUACACACCACACAUUUAAAUAUCCCCCCCAAAGAAUCAUGGGAAUUGUAGUUUACCCCCCACUGAGCACUUAACAAACUACAGUUCCUGUGAUUCCUUUUUUGGGGGGAGGAUGUACUUUAAAUGUUCUUCAAAGGUAUGGUGUGUACACAACCAUAGAAGCAAGACUUUCUUCUACCCACAGGGUUGUAAUGGGAGAAAAUGAAAUCAUUAAACAAAUGAAAUAUAAAUGAAGUUUGUGGCCUACACUGGAGUCCAAGAAGAGGGCUGAGGUAGUUUGUUCACAAUAAGUUGCCCCUGAAGCGUCUAUCUUAAAUUGAAAAAUCACAAACUCAAAGAUGUGCAUUUUAAACAGAAAAGAAAUGCCUCAAUGUGACUUUCUAUAAAUAUUUUCUUUCCUGUCUGGAUUGUGUUAGUGUGAAAUACAACAAAUACUUCUGCAGUUUUCAGAUUAUGCUGCAUGGGGGGGGGGCAGAUGAUGCCUGAUUUAAUUUUGGCAGCAAAGAUUCGCUCUCUGCCUGUCUUCAGUGAAUUUCUAGCCUCCAGACUAGAUUCUGUGAAACAUACACUAGAAAUAUAUUGGACUCUUAACUUCCUGUUGCUUUCCAUUCACAGUAACAAAUCCGCAAUGAUCCUGACAGCAAAGAGAGCCUCUUAAGUGCUAUUUCUGUAUUACAUUUGGC